AACGAACGGUGCCGGCAUGCCUAACACAUGCAAGUCGAACGAGACCUUCGGGACUAUUGGCGCUGCGGUGCGUAACGCGCGGGAACCUGCCCUUAGUUUCGUAUCAACUCCUCAAAAGGGGUGCUACUACCGGCAAAAGUCUUCGCAACAAGGAUUUAUCGCCUUUGGAUGGGCCUGCCUUGGAUUAGCUAGUUGUUCGGGUAACAGACUACCAAGGUUAGGACCCAUAACUGGUCUGAGAGGAGGAUCAGCCACACUGGGACUGAGACACGGCCCAGACGCGUACGGGAGGCGGCAGUGGGGAAGAUGGGACACUGGGCGAAAGCCUGAUCCAGGAAUGCCGCGUGAGUGAUGAAGGCGUUAGGGUUGUAAAGAUCUUUUACCCGGGAUGAUAAUGACAGUACCGGGAGAAGAAGCGCCGGCUAACUCCGU
This 432-nucleotide ribosomal RNA is filed under the name uncultured bacterium. Its description in RNAcentral is "partial 16S ribosomal RNA". It matches the Rfam family "Bacterial small subunit ribosomal RNA", at positions 29 to 506 of the family's 1533-position model. The record is from RNAcentral.